Molecule: RNA transcript, 1014 nt
Organism: Fragaria vesca subsp. vesca
Lineage: Eukaryota; Viridiplantae; Streptophyta; Magnoliopsida; Rosales; Rosaceae
Exons: 2
Source: RefSeq, a predicted model, not a curated record
CUGCUCGCACUCGCUGCUCUUUGACGGCUCAACCUCGACGGCCAAAAUACAACGCCAUGGGUUUGUGAAUAGGUGUUGCUAUGCGUUGAAAUCCCUCGCAAGUACUCCAACUGAUUGUCGAUAUUGGGUUACUCAGUUGUACUUCAAUAAUUAAUGGGCAAUCGGUACUCCAACAGAUUUCUAUUUACAAGAGCUUUAGUUCUGCAAAUACAUGGUUGUAUUUUCUCAUGGUAUUGAUUUGAUAUCAUACGGUUUCAUCUACAAAUCUGAUCUUUUCUGAGGUAAUUAUCCUUGUGUUGAAUAUAGAUAGCAGAAGAUUAUUCUGAGUGAGUUCCUGAUCUGCCUCUCUGAGGAUACUGCCCAAGUAUUUUGUUUUUGUACAACCCCGAAGACAGUGGCUUCCCUGUCUUUUUUGCCUUUCUAUUUUGUUUAUACUUUUGCAGAGCGUGCAUUCUGUGAUGUAAUUGACAUUACCUUUGGUUGUGAGGAGGUUGCACAGAUCCCACAUGGAGGUAUUCUUUUUGUAAAGUCUUUCAAUUGUUCAAUUGAGUUGAGUGUAUAGUUUGUUCACUGUUUUACACGGUAUAGGUGAUGGAAGAAACUUGGAAUUGAAGAUGUCAAACUAGUCAGUCUCAACUUAGGUGGACAUGUAUAUGAUGAGUUAUUGUACAUUCUAGUUAUACAAUUAUUGAAGUAUUGAGUUGAUUUCCCAGACACUACUUGUCAGUUUAUAAUAUUAAUCUUAUUGUGCCUCAGUAUUCCAAUAUGAUUACCACUUUGUGAGUUAUCUUCCAUAUUUUGCUAAUUGUACGUAGUUGGUAUAUUUCUCAAUUUCUGUACUCAUUUGCAGCCAUCAGGCUAGAAGUUGAAAAGGGAGUUUUUACCUCCUGAAUGGCUAAGCCUGGUAUGUCUUCCUAUUGUAUCAUCCACAUGUUUUUCUUGACUAGAACUUUUUAAAUACUUAUACUGAAAACCAUUUAAUCUUCUGUUAACUGUAAAAAUUUAGGAAAAAUU